AAGAGAGCAUUCUUGGACAGUGUAUAAUAGCCAACUGUCAUGGAGUUGCUCUCUUUA
RNAcentral lists this microRNA precursor (57 nucleotides) under Lingula anatina. Its description in RNAcentral is "Lan-Mir-281-P10_pre stem-loop". Lineage: Eukaryota; Metazoa; Brachiopoda; Lingulata; Lingulida; Lingulidae. The record is from RNAcentral.